Molecule: long non-coding RNA, 758 nt
Organism: Contarinia nasturtii (swede midge)
Lineage: Eukaryota; Metazoa; Arthropoda; Insecta; Diptera; Cecidomyiidae
Exons: 6
Source: RefSeq, a predicted model, not a curated record
CUGGAUUCCAGCAUGUAAAAUUGUUUCGUACGCGCAAAAAAAUUUAAAUUGCUAAUCAGCAAGCGAACUUUAUUAGACAUCACCGGUUGGCCGUAUUUUUCCAGUGAAGUGACUAUGGUGGAGAAAUGUGUAAAAUUAAUGCACGAACAUAGUGUAAAAUACUUGGCCGCUAUCGUAGUCAAUAAUCGGAUAUGGCGUGAGUGGCGGCUGGGCAAGUCCUUCUCUUCUGCUUUUAAAAUCGGAUAAAUCGCCUUUACCGACGGGAAAAAUCUCGGAAGAAGAUCUUGAGUAGCUUCACUAUUGUGUGUCGGAGGACUAGUUGGAAAUUUUGUUUUUGGCUACAUCGCUAGUAUAUUUGGUCGGAAAUUGCCUUUGAUAUUAAUCACUAUUCCAGCAUUUAUUAGUUGGUCGCUUAUUUGGUUUGCACAAAACGUUUGUUAUCUGUAAGUUCGUGGUCGGAUUUCUUCAAUUGAUUGCAAAUUGGGCCGUUUUAACCCUGCCAUUCUAGUUAUAUCCGGAAUUAUGCCGGAAAAGUUGAAAAAUUUAGGCUCAUCAUUUUGUAUGGGUCUUUUGUGGGCUACUGCAUUCCUUGUUACAAAAUGUUUACCACUUCUCAACGCAACAUUCGACUUUCACGGAACGAUGUUUUUAUUUGCUGGAUUUUGUUUAUCCGAUUUGGCUUUUAUCAUGGUAUUCAUGCCAGAAACAAAAGGGAAAAAUUAUGAGCAAAUCCAGAAUUUACUUCGAUAAGUCACCGA